RNAcentral lists this ribosomal RNA (207 nucleotides) under uncultured bacterium. RNAcentral's name for it is "partial 16S ribosomal RNA". It matches the Rfam family "Bacterial small subunit ribosomal RNA", at positions 568 to 774 of the family's 1533-position model. The record is from RNAcentral.
CGUGUAGGCGGUCCGCUAAGUCUGAUGUGAAAGCCCGGGGCUCACCCCCGGAAGGGCAUUGGAAACUGGCGGACUCGAGUCCCGGAGAGGAAGGUGGAAUUCCUGGUGUAGCGGUGAAAUGCGUAGAUAUCAGGAGGAAUACCGGUGGCGAAGGCGGCCCUCUGGACGGUGACUGACGCUGAGACGCGAAAGCGUGGGGAGCAAACA